GUGACGAACAACUUGUGUAGACUGAUACAGCAGGAGUAGGAGCUGUUUAUUGUAGGACAGGAGCGAUAUUUAUACAUUUCACACAGCUUAUCUAAUUAACAUAAACUAGAUACAUCAGUCAACCAAUAAGAAAUCUCCACACUUAAUGGCUCGCUGGCUCCACCUCACAAACCACUCCCUCUGGCAUUUUGCCAGGCGCCAUCCAGACUUGUCUACAGACUCUAACAUUUGCUAGGCGCCAUCCUGACUUGUUUACAGACUCUAACAUUUCCCCCUUUUGUUUAAUUUAAAUAACGACCAUAGUGGUUUUUACACAAACACCAUAAAUAAUCUGCUACAAGCAGAAAGGGAGGAUACAAAUGUCACAAUUGUGACAAUUGAUGGCUCAAUUGAUGGCUCCAUGCAAGAAGCCCUUGGAAAAAUUAUACCAGCAAUGACACGGUUUGCAAAGAUACCGAGUUACAAUUUGUUGUAGAUUACAGUUUGUUGUCUCAGUCCAGGUAAAGCAGUGUCUCAAUAGAUUAACUCACAGUCCAGGUAACUCAUAGUCCAGGUAAGUUCUGCAGGCAGCUAGCUUGAUCCAAAGUCUCAUCCGGUUUUCAGCAACACUGGAAAUUUUUCCACCUUGGUCUUUACCGGCACUGGGACGAAGGCAGGAACUCUGGAUGGCUAAAGAAAAUCCUGUAGCAUUCUACUAAGAAAACAACCUUCUGAACAAUUUAGUACAUUAUCUCAAGGUUUUUUUUGCAUUUGAAAUAAGCAUUAGUAGUGCUCAUUACUCAUCAGCUUCCACAUGUGGGAGAACCAUUGUAGCUUAGUUAUUG
RNAcentral lists this long non-coding RNA (824 nucleotides) under Marmota monax (woodchuck). Lineage: Eukaryota; Metazoa; Chordata; Mammalia; Rodentia; Sciuridae. The record is from RNAcentral.